CUGGAUCUCACUGGAUCCUUCACUGCUAAAGGGGUCCGAACGCAGCCCGGGAAAAGAAAGAAAGCAGGACCCCCAUCGCAGGAGUCGGAGGCACCCCCCGCGAGGCGGGGACUGAGAGAGAGCUCCUCUUCCCCCCCAGGAUCUUAGGACCCCCAUCGCGGGGGGGGAGGCACUCCCGCCAGGAUCCCCAUCGCAAGGGGGGAAGACACCGCCCACGAGUCGGGGACUGAGAGCCAGCCCCUCUUCCCCCGCUGGCUUAGGACCCCCACCGCGGAUUCUAAGAUCCUUAGCACCCACCUGGAGGACUGGGGGUUUUAGGUGUCCAAGAAGAAAGCUCAGACCUGCCGACCGCAGGACCUCCAUCGCAGCGGGGCAGGCACACACCGCGAGGCGGGAACUGAGAGCCAGCCCCUCCCACCUCUGGCUCUUAGGACUCACAUUGCAAGUGGGGGAGGCAUCCUCCGCGAGGCGCGGACUGAGAGCCAGCCCCUCUUCCCCCCCUGGCUCUAGGGACCCCCAUCGCAGGGGGUGGAGGCACCCCACGCGAUUCGGGGACUGAGAGCCAGCCCCUCUCCUUCCCCCUGCUCUUCGGACCCCCAUCGCAGGGCGGGGAGGCACCCACCGCGAGGCGGGGACUGAGAGCCAGCCCCUCUACCCCCCGUGGCUCUUAGGAGCCCCAUCGCAGGGUGGGAGGCCACCCGGCGAGGCGAGGAUUGAGAGCCAGCCCGUCUUCCCCCCUUGGCUCUUAGGAGCCCCAUCGCGGGUGGGGAAGGCACCCCCCGCGAGGCAGGGACUGAGAGCCAGCCUCUCUUCCUCCCGUGGCUCUUAGGACCCCCAUCGCAGUGGGGGGAGGCACCCCCCGCGAGGCGGGGACUGAGAGCAAGCCCAUUUCCCCCCCCCCCGGCUCUUAGGACACCCAACGCAGAGGGGGGAGGCACCCCCUGCGAGGCAGGAACUGAGAGCCAGACCCACUUCUCCCCGGCUCUUGGGAUCCCCAUCGCGGGGAGGGGAGGCACCCCACACGAGGCGGGGACUGAGAGCCAGCCCCUCUUCCCCCCCUGGCUAUUAGGACCCCCAUCGCAGGGGGGAGAGGCACCCCCCGAGAGGCAGGGACGGAGAGCCUGCACCUCUUCCCCCACGGGCUCUUAGGACCCCCAUCGCAGGCGCUUCGCACCCCACGCGAGGCGGGUACUGAGAGCCAGCUCCUCUUUCCCCCGUCUCUUAGGACUGCCAUCGCAGAGGGGGAGGUAACCCCCGCCAGGCAGGGACUGACAGCCAGCCCCUCUUCACCUCUGGCUCUUAGGCCCCCAUCGCAGAGUGGGGAGGCACCACAUGCGAGGCGGGGACUGCGAGCCAGCCCCACUUCCCCCCUGGCUCUUGGGACCACCAUCGCAGUGGGGGGAGGUACACCCCGCGAGGCGGGGACGGAGAGUCAGCCCCUCUUCCCCCACUGGCUCUUGGGAACCCCAUCGCAAGGGGGAGAGGCACCCUCCGCGACGCGGGGACUGAGAGACAGCCCCUCUUCCCCCCCUGGCUCUAGGGACCCCCAUCGCAGGGGGUGGAGGCACCCCACGCGAUGCGGGGACUGAGAGCCAGCCCCUCUCCGCCCCCCCCGACCCCGCCCGGGUCUUCGGACCCCCAUCGCAGUGGGGGGAGGCACCCCAUGCGAGGCGGGGUCUGACAGCCAAACCCUCUUCCCCCUCUGGCUCUUAUGACCCCCAUAGCAAGGGGGGAGGCACCCCCCGCGAGGCGGGGACUAGAGCCAGCCCCUCUUCCCACCCUGGCUUAGGACCCCCAUCGCGGAUCCUAAGAUCCUUAGGACCCAACUGGAGGACUGUGGGUAUUAGGUGUCCAAGAAGAAAGCUCAGAUCUGCCGACCGCAGGUACCUUACUUGGGAUUUACUAUACCACAGGGGUCCGAACGCAGCCCGGGAUCAGGAAGAAAGCAGGUCGUUUGCAAUCUACCGGAGCCUAAGGGCAGAAGGCAGGGGUCCGAAUGCAGCCCGGGAUCACAAAGAAAGCAGGUCGUUUGCAAUCUACCAGAGCCUAAGGGCAGAAGGCAGGAUCGUGGGAACAAUAUCCCAUGGGGGUGUACCCUUUCUGCCAUAUAUGUAGUCACAUCACCCACUCCGCCUUGGAAUAUUAUUAAGGACCAUCUAACACGAGGGUGUAUACGUCCUGUGAUAUUGGGAGUAAUAUCAACUUCUCGGCCUCUGAAUAUGAGGAAGAAUAUCACAGGGAUAUUAAUAACAAUUUCACAGGCUGGGUGAACACAGCCGGCGAUGCUGAAAUUAUUAUCAUCCUCUCCCCCUCUUCCCCUCCUGGCUCUCAGUCCCCGCCUCACGGGUUAUGUAGCGGGUUAUGGCAAGAAGACAAACUGCAGUUUCCUGCACAGAACAGCACAAACAAUGAUCCAAGCUCAGUUACAACACAAUAUUGGUCAUCAUUUGACCAUGGACUUCAAUAUCAACCCUUAGAAACCUUCCUAAAACAGGUCAGCAAAACACCAAGAAGCAAUAUCCUGAAUGAUAGGAAAAUAUCCUUGCUUGUGCAAAUUGUUUCCACUUAAUUUUUUUCAACAAAUGUUAAUUAUAUUUUUACUUUCUAAAAAUUUUUAAUAAAAUAUAGCCUACUUGGUUAAAAAUGGUGUCAAAGCUUUUCUAAAAGUUA
Molecule: long non-coding RNA, 2670 nt
Filed under: Homo sapiens (human)
Lineage: Eukaryota; Metazoa; Chordata; Mammalia; Primates; Hominidae
Description: HSALNT0367513
Source: RNAcentral